GGGGGUAUAGCUCAGUGGUAGAGCACCCGCAUACGUAUCGGAAGGUCGGGGGUUCGACUUUCUCUGCCUCCA
RNAcentral lists this transfer RNA (72 nucleotides) under Pristionchus pacificus. It matches the Rfam family "tRNA". From Rfam's summary of the family: Transfer RNA (tRNA) molecules are approximately 80 nucleotides in length. Their secondary structure includes four short double-helical elements and three loops (D, anti-codon, and T loops). Lineage: Eukaryota; Metazoa; Nematoda; Chromadorea; Rhabditida; Neodiplogasteridae. The record is from Rfam by way of RNAcentral.